RNAcentral lists this transfer RNA (77 nucleotides) under Ehrlichia ruminantium str. Welgevonden. RNAcentral describes it as "tRNA-Arg". It matches the Rfam family "tRNA". Rfam says of the family: Transfer RNA (tRNA) molecules are approximately 80 nucleotides in length. Their secondary structure includes four short double-helical elements and three loops (D, anti-codon, and T loops). The record is from RNAcentral. Lineage: Bacteria; Pseudomonadati; Pseudomonadota; Alphaproteobacteria; Rickettsiales; Anaplasmataceae. RNAcentral also lists the same sequence under 1 other name.
GGGGCCGUAGCUCAGUAGGAUAGAGCAUUAGAUUCCUAAUCUGGAGGUCGUGCGUUCAAAUCGCACCGGUCCCAUUA